AAAGCCUAAAACAAAGACCUCCCUCCUCCUCCGGUUCGACGGGCGUGGCGUAGCUGUACCCGGCCCCGCCAAUGUAAAUGUGCGCUUGUCUAGUUCUUCAGCUUGGGUCAGGAGGACCUCAUGGCCAUGGGGGCCAUUGCUUGCAACGCAUGCCCCGAGACUGAUGCAAUGUUGUGACAGGGAGCGUGGCAGGCAGCGUCCGUCCACGAGAUGAGAUGAUGGGGGAUCGAAGCAGAAGCAGAGGAGCAGCAUGCAGUAGUUUUUCUGGCUGGCUGAUCUUGCAACAAAUUGGGUGCUGUGCAUGUAUGCAGAUGCAUGUCGUGCUCCAUGGGGAAGAAGACGGGGUUGGUUCUUGGUUCUUGUUGCACGGCAGGCAGCGGCAGAUUGAGGUGAGCUGGUGAGGUGACCAUCGUCGUAAGGUUACAGGUCUUACGCACUGGAAGUCUCAUUGUUCAACUUCAACCUCCAUUUCAGAAGCCAGUCAAUGCCCCAAUCUCCUGAAUCCUUAACUGCAUAGCUAUUACUACUACACUUUGAGCGAGUCAGGAGGAGGACGAAAUGCACACACAUACUCCAUAUGGGGAAUGAAUUACUCCACAACACCUCGCAAUCAGAUCGAUCAUAUUCAACAGAUGAAAAACCGAGGAAAUUAAAUGAGAGUGAAUAAUGGUCAAUGCACUGGCUGCUAGUGAAUCGUGAUCGAUCAAUCGAUGGACUGACCGAGUCAUCAGUUCAUCACGUAUGCAUGCUCCGUGCAGAUUGACCUGCAUAUCUGUUACGAGAUUGGCAGGCAAAUUAAGGCAGCAGCAGCAGCAGCAACCAUAUAUGGAUCAGAACUUGACCAUGUCGCCCUAUAGCCAGCUACUAUAGUAGUACUCUAGUAUAGGAGCAGUAGACAUGUACAUGUAAUUCUACGUGAUCUUCCUAUAUAUCGAUCUCUAUGUUAAUGAACCACUGUCAGGCUUGCUGGUGCACGGAAAGAGAAUAGUGCUGUAGCCAAGCCAACGGCGCCGGUGCCGUGGACUCGUGGAGCCUGGGUGACGAAGAGCUUUUUUUUUUGCCGGCUAAUUUUUAAGGGCAUUUUUUGGUGAUUGACAAUGGUGACAUUGGCGGCGAAGCCUUAUCAGGGUUGGGAGUAGUAUAUGAUAAAUUACAGGGAACCAACUCCCAGACUACACGGACUGUCAUAGUCCGGGAGCUGUGUCGUAGUCCGGGAGCUGUUCCGUCGGGUGUACAAUUUAUCGUAUACUACUCCCAAUCCUAAAAUUUUAGUCCUUAUUUUCUUCUUAAAUGCUGCUCUCCACAA
Oryza sativa Japonica Group (Japanese rice) is the source of this 1306-nucleotide long non-coding RNA. RefSeq lists it as uncharacterized. The record is from RefSeq and is a predicted model, not a curated record. Lineage: Eukaryota; Viridiplantae; Streptophyta; Magnoliopsida; Poales; Poaceae.